RNAcentral lists this ribosomal RNA (2926 nucleotides) under Citrobacter freundii. Its description in RNAcentral is "bacterial LSU rRNA". It matches the Rfam family "Bacterial large subunit ribosomal RNA". The record is from RNAcentral. Lineage: Bacteria; Pseudomonadati; Pseudomonadota; Gammaproteobacteria; Enterobacterales; Enterobacteriaceae.
GGGUUGUGAGGUUAAGCGACUAAGCGUACACGGUGGAUGCCCUGGCAGUCAGAGGCGAUGAAGGACGUGCUAAUCUGCGAUAAGCGUCGGUAAGGUGAUAUGAACCGUUAUAACCGGCGAUUUCCGAAUGGGGAAACCCAGUGUGAUUCGUCACACUAUCAUUACGUGAAUACAUAGCGUAAUGAAGCGAACCGGGGGAACUGAAACAUCUAAGUACCCCGAGGAAAAGAAAUCAACCGAGAUUCCCCCAGUAGCGGCGAGCGAACGGGGAGCAGCCCAGAGUCUGAAUCAGCUUGUGUGUUAGUGGAACGGUCUGGAAAGUCCGACGGUACAGGGUGAUAGUCCCGUACACCAAAAUGCACAGGUUGUGAACUCGAAGAGUAGGGCGGGACACGUGGUAUCCUGUCUGAAUAUGGGGGGACCAUCCUCCAAGGCUAAAUACUCCUGACUGACCGAUAGUGAACCAGUACCGUGAGGGAAAGGCGAAAAGAACCCCGGCGAGGGGAGUGAAAAGAACCUGAAACCGUGUACGUACAAGCAGUGGGAGCCUCUUUAUGGGGUGACUGCGUACCUUUUGUAUAAUGGGUCAGCGACUUAUAUUCUGUAGCAAGGUUAACCGUAUAGGGGAGCCGAAGGGAAACCGAGUCUUAACUGGGCGUUAAGUUGCAGGGUAUAGACCCGAAACCCGGUGAUCUAGCCAUGGGCAGGUUGAAGGUUGGGUAACACUAACUGGAGGACCGAACCGACUAAUGUUGAAAAAUUAGCGGAUGACUUGUGGCUGGGGGUGAAAGGCCAAUCAAACCGGGAGAUAGCUGGUUCUCCCCGAAAGCUAUUUAGGUAGCGCCUCGUGAACUCAUCUUCGGGGGUAGAGCACUGUUUCGGCUAGGGGGUCAUCCCGACUUACCAACCCGAUGCAAACUGCGAAUACCGAAGAAUGUUAUCACGGGAGACACACGGCGGGUGCUAACGUCCGUCGUGAAGAGGGAAACAACCCAGACCGCCAGCUAAGGUCCCAAAGUCAUGGUUAAGUGGGAAACGAUGUGGGAAGGCACAGACAGCCAGGAUGUUGGCUUAGAAGCAGCCAUCAUUUAAAGAAAGCGUAAUAGCUCACUGGUCGAGUCGGCCUGCGCGGAAGAUGUAACGGGGCUAAACCAUGCACCGAAGCUGCGGCAGCGACACUAUGUGUUGUUGGGUAGGGGAGCGUUCUGUAAGCCGUUGAAGGUGGCCUGUGAGGGUUGCUGGAGGUAUCAGAAGUGCGAAUGCUGACAUAAGUAACGAUAAUGCGGGUGAAAAACCCGCACGCCGGAAGACCAAGGGUUCCUGUCCAACGUUAAUCGGGGCAGGGUGAGUCGACCCCUAAGGCGAGGCCGAAAGGCGUAGUCGAUGGGAAACAGGUUAAUAUUCCUGUACUUGGUGUUACUGCGAAGGGGGGACGGAGAAGGCUAUGUUAGCCGGGCGACGGUUGUCCCGGUUUAAGCAUGUAGGCGGAGGUUCCAGGUAAAUCCGGUACCUUUUAACGCUGAGGUGUGAUGACGAGGCACUACGGUGCUGAAGUAACAAAUGCCCUGCUUCCAGGAAAAGCCUCUAAGCAUCAGGUAACAUGAAAUCGUACCCCAAACCGACACAGGUGGUCAGGUAGAGAAUACCAAGGCGCUUGAGAGAACUCGGGUGAAGGAACUAGGCAAAAUGGUGCCGUAACUUCGGGAGAAGGCACGCUGAUAUGUAGGUGAAGUGAUUUACUCAUGGAGCUGAAAUCAGUCGAAGAUACCAGCUGGCUGCAACUGUUUAUUAAAAACACAGCACUGUGCAAACACGAAAGUGGACGUAUACGGUGUGACGCCUGCCCGGUGCCGGAAGGUUAAUUGAUGGGGUUAUCCGUAAGGAGAAGCUCUUGAUCGAAGCCCCGGUAAACGGCGGCCGUAACUAUAACGGUCCUAAGGUAGCGAAAUUCCUUGUCGGGUAAGUUCCGACCUGCACGAAUGGCGUAAUGAUGGCCAGGCUGUCUCCACCCGAGACUCAGUGAAAUUGAACUCGCUGUGAAGAUGCAGUGUACCCGCGGCAAGACGGAAAGACCCCGUGAACCUUUACUAUAGCUUGACACUGAACACUGGUCCUUGAUGUGUAGGAUAGGUGGGAGGCUUUGAAGUGUGGACGCCAGUCUGCAUGGAGCCAUCCUUGAAAUACCACCCUUUAAUGGCUGGUGUUCUAACGUGGACCCGUUACCCGGGUUGCGGACAGUGUCUGGUGGGUAGUUUGACUGGGGCGGUCUCCUCCUAAAGAGUAACGGAGGAGCACGAAGGUUAGCUAAUCCUGGUCGGACAUCAGGAGGUUAGUGCAAAGGCAUAAGCUAGCUUGACUGCGAGAGUGACGGCUCGAGCAGAUGCGAAAGCAGGUCUUAGUGAUCCGGUGGUUCUGAAUGGAAGGGCCAUCGCUCAACGGAUAAAAGGUACUCCGGGGAUAACAGGCUGAUACCGCCCAAGAGUUCAUAUCGACGGCGGUGUUUGGCACCUCGAUGUCGGCUCAUCACAUCCUGGGGCUGAAGUAGGUCCCAAGGGUAUGGCUGUUCGCCAUUUAAAGUGGUACGCGAGCUGGGUUUAGAACGUCGUGAGACAGUUCGGUCCCUAUCUGCCGUGGGCGCUGGAGAAUUGAGGGGGGCUGCUCCUAGUACGAGAGGACCGGAGUGGACGCAUCACUGGUGUUCGGGUUGUCAUGCCAAUGGCAUUGCCCGGUAGCUAAAUGCGGAAGAGAUAAGUGCUGAAAGCAUCUAAGCACGAAACUUGCCCCGAGAUGAGUUCUCCCUGAGACUAUAAGUCUCCUGAAGGAACGUUGAAGACGACGACGUUGAUAGGUCGGGUGUGUAAGUGUAGCGAUACAUUGAGCUAACCGAUACUAAUGAACCGUGAGGCUUAACCUUACAACGCCGAAG